RNAcentral lists this microRNA (22 nucleotides) under Ciona intestinalis (vase tunicate). RNAcentral's name for it is "cin-miR-196-3p". Its record names the gene cin-miR-196-3p. Lineage: Eukaryota; Metazoa; Chordata; Ascidiacea; Phlebobranchia; Cionidae. The record is from miRBase by way of RNAcentral.
CCACAGCUUUAGGCGGCCUGCU